UUACCAGGUUGAGUCGAAAGUUUUUUCAUAUUUCAAGCUUUAAUUGAUAUUCCAAACAAAUUACAUACGAAAAGCGUUUAUUCAUCAAAAUAUAUUCCAUCAUAUUCUAUUGUUUCCCUUACGAAAUACGG
This is a long non-coding RNA of Octopus sinensis (East Asian common octopus), 131 nucleotides long. RefSeq lists it as uncharacterized. The record is from RefSeq and is a predicted model, not a curated record. Lineage: Eukaryota; Metazoa; Mollusca; Cephalopoda; Octopoda; Octopodidae. The transcript is spliced from 3 exons.